UGGCGGCAGGCCUAACACAUGCAAGUCGAGCGGUAACAUUUCUAGCUUGCUAGAAGAUGACGAGCGGCGGACGGGUGAGUAACGCGUAGAAAUCUACCUAGUAGUGGGGGAUAGCCCAGAGAAAUUUGGAUUAAUACCGCAUACGCCCUACGGGGGAAAGCGGGGGAUCUUCGGACCUCGUGCUAUUAGAUGAGUCUGCGUCGGAUUAGCUUGUUGGUGAGGUAAUGGCUCACCAAGGCGACGAUCCGUAGCUGGUCUGAGAGGAUGACCAGCCACACUGGAACUGUGACACGGUCCAGACUCCUACGGGAGGCAGCAGUGGGGAAUAUUGCACAAUGGGCGCAAGCCUGAUGCAGCCAUGCCGCGUGUGUGAAGAAGGCCUUAGGGUUGUAAAGCACUUUCAGCAGUGAGGAAAGGGGUGUCGUUAAUAGCGCCAUCCUGUGACGUUAACUGCAGAAGAAGGACCGGCUAACUCCGUG
RNAcentral lists this ribosomal RNA (479 nucleotides) under uncultured bacterium. Its description in RNAcentral is "bacterial SSU rRNA". It matches the Rfam family "Bacterial small subunit ribosomal RNA", at positions 37 to 507 of the family's 1533-position model. The record is from RNAcentral.